Molecule: long non-coding RNA, 397 nt
Organism: Mus musculus (house mouse)
Lineage: Eukaryota; Metazoa; Chordata; Mammalia; Rodentia; Muridae
Product: predicted gene, 31581
Exons: 4
Source: RefSeq, a predicted model, not a curated record
AUAAGUGAAAGAUGCCAGAAGAGGGAGAGAAUGGGGUGGGGAAAAGGGAGCUACCCGCAAGCAUGAAGCAUGUUUUAGUUUAUACAGCUGCAAAGAUCAAAAUAUCUCAGCCUAUAAGGUUUAACAUACCUCAAGAUUACAGAGAUGAAGAACAAAAAUGCCCACACCAUUGAGAACAUGUCAAUUUUAUCAAUUUUUCAGGUGCCAACCAGCAGGGAAGUUUUGUCUGAAACAUUGAAGGAAUUCAAGUUAAAAGAGGGCAAGUUCCAGAGAGGAGGGCCUUAUCUCAGUAAGGAGACCUACAAGUGGCUUCCUAGUGUGAAUUCUCUUUUGCUACCUCAAUGACAGAAUGCAUGGAAUGAAAAUAGAAACAAAUGGACUGUUGUGAAGCUGUGCU